UUAUAAAUAUUUAUAUAUGAUGUCACAAAUAUCUUAUACCUGAUCACACUCAAUAAAAACCAUUAAUUUAACUAUUUUAAAUAUCUUAAGUUUUGCCAAUGGCCCAAUGAAAUUAUUGAAUUCAAGAAUCUUAAUCAAAAGAUUUUUAUUUUAAUUUAACUUAAUUUAAAUCAAAAUUUUUGCCAUUAUUAUUUUACAUUGCUUGUAUGUUUCACAUUGCUUGUGAGAAUGGUUUUCUCGCCUUUCUAAUCUAUAUAUAUAUUUUUUAUUGUUAUUAUGAUAAAUUAUUGCUGGAGACGGUUUUUCUUGUUUACAAUACUUUGUAGAUAUUAGGUAAAUACUAGAUAGGUAUGUAGAUACUAGAUAGAUAAUAUAUAUAACUAACUUUUAUCUAAUCCUACUGAACUUAUCUGUUCCCUUUUUUAUUCUACCAUUUUUUCAUAAAUUGAUGGAUUAGUAAAUAUAACAAUUCAUAUUACUACAGGAAUAAAGAAUGCUCAUGAUAAUUUUUCAAAGAGUUAUGAUCUGAAGAUCUGAAAAUAAUUUCCUCUGGGAUCUGUUUCAUUUCAGCUGAAAUUAAACAGUCUAAAACUAUUUCAUUUUAGUCCCAAUUAAAGGACUAUAAAUUAUAAUGUAUCCCUCUGUAUAGUUCUGUAUUACUUUCAGAAAUCCUGAGUAGUCUCCUGAGACUACUCCACUGUACCCCGGAUUCAAGGACUAUAUUGUGAACCCAAUUAACCCUCCUCCGAAAAAAAUUUAAAAUUACAACUAGCAGACUGGUUGCAUGAUAAGGUUAUUGAACGCUCAACGUCACCCUGGUCAUCACCUUUAGUCAUGAAGAAGUCAGGGGCGGUCAUAUGAGAAUUGACGUCCCACCCUCGCACAGGUAUCAAGCUUUACUCGCAGUACAUGCACAUGAGAACUGGGGAGAACAGCGUACUAUGCAACUGCUUGUAAAAAAGGUUUUCUUGCCCAUGGAAGAGAAAAGACACAAGUCUCUUUGUCACGGAAUGUGAAGUUGCCUGCACAGAGAAGAGUCGUUUCUGCAGUUCCUAUUCCUGAUAAGUCGGCUAAGACAGUCUCCACAGCAAUCCUAAAACAUUGGAUCUUGUUGUAUGGGACUCCAACAAAAAUCAGGAAAGCCUGCCGGACUAGAAUUUCAAAACUCUGUAAUAGUUUCUAUGACGAGUGCGUUAAAAGUGAGCAUUAAAGUGGGGACCCCCUAUAUAGAAAGAUUUCAUACAACUUAGUGGUCCCUUUGAUUUACCCACUUUGAUUCUUCCAUAUAACUCUACACGACAUUAUUCUACAUUGUGCAGUCCCGCUAGCUUAUUUUUAGGAAUGGAGACGAACCUGCCUCGCCUUUCCUUUUUGCCAAAAAAACUAAAACUACCUAAAAAAGCUAUGAUGCAGUUGUUGGACAAGCUCUCAGGAAUUGAUUUACCAUGUAAAGACUAAAGUUGACAAUAGUUUGGUUGACAAAUUCUACAAAGACGUCAACCACGGGAGCCAACACCAGGAUCAAACAGAGUGUCAGCAAUAAUACAGGACAAAUCAGAAGCAAGAAUUUAUCUGCUGGACCAAUCAGAAGCAAACCUGAUAGUAGGGACAGCAAGAACAGUGUCAGCAACAAUACAGGACCAAUCAGAAGCAAGAAUUUAUCUGCUGGACCAAUCAGAAGCAACCCUGGUAGAAGGGACAGCUAGAAGAGUGUCAGCAACAAUACAGGACCAAUCAGAAGCAAGAAUUUAUCUGCUGGACCAAUCAGAAGCAACCCUGGUAGAAGGGACAGCAAGAACAGUGUCAGCAACAAUACAGGACCAAUCAGAAGCAAGAAUUUAUCUGCUGGACCAAUCAGAAGCAACCCUGGUAGAAGGGACAGCUAGAAAAGUGUCAGCAACAAUACAGGAACAAUCAGAAGCAAGAAUUUAUCUGCUGGACCAAUCAGAAGCAACCAUGGUAGUAAGGACAGCAACAAUACUAGACCAAUCAGAAGCAAGAAUUAAUCUGCUGGACCAAUCAGAAGCAACCCUGGAAUUAACGACAGCAAGAGCAAUAAUAGUACAGAGAUGAGGAGUCAAACUUCUGAAGAGGACCACGUCUUUUUGUGGUAAAUUUAAUGAUUUGGUUAAUAAAAGGAUAAGUUUUA
This 2149-nucleotide long non-coding RNA is filed under the name Eurytemora carolleeae. RNAcentral's name for it is "uncharacterized LOC111696120". The record is from RNAcentral. Lineage: Eukaryota; Metazoa; Arthropoda; Copepoda; Calanoida; Temoridae.